Molecule: transfer RNA, 47 nt
Filed under: Cebuella pygmaea (pygmy marmoset)
Lineage: Eukaryota; Metazoa; Chordata; Mammalia; Primates; Cebidae
Description: partial tRNA-Leu
Source: RNAcentral
CUUUUAAAGGAUAGUAGUUAUCCAUUGGCCUUAGGAACCAAAAACGU